Molecule: long non-coding RNA, 1786 nt
Filed under: Betta splendens (Siamese fighting fish)
Lineage: Eukaryota; Metazoa; Chordata; Actinopteri; Anabantiformes; Osphronemidae
Description: lncRNA (ENSBSLG00000002232.1)
Source: RNAcentral
AUGAGUGUUCGCCUGCUGCUCCUGUUGGCCCUCGUCGGCCCAUUCGGCGCCUUCACGCACGCAAGCCCCACGGAGCUGCCUGGAGACUGGACCUCCUCCUUCACGCAGACGGACCAGCCCGUCUCCACCGAGGCUGCCACAACAGAAGGCUUCUCCACCGCCGCCUCCCUUCCUCCUACAACCGAAGCGGCGACCGCAGCGGCGACCGCUACGGAGGCCGACGCUGUCACAGAGGUCACCACCGUUCCACUGACUCAGACAAACACUCCGGACGUUACUACUGCGGUGACGGACCUCACCAGCGAACCCAUCACUCCGGCUGCAGGGACCGAAGGGCCCACCGAGCUGGUGGAGACCGUCCAAACCGCCGUGGUCAAAGGUGGUCAAGCAGAAGUGAGCGAAGAGGUGGUUGUUGAAGACGAGGCAGUGGGGGGCCUGGGCUCAGGCCAGGUAGUCGGCAUCGUCAUUGGCGCUCUGGUGGCGGCGGUGGUCGUCAUCGCCGUGGUGAUCGUUGUGAUGCGGAGGAUGGGGAAAUACUCCCCUUGAGGAAAAAGACGACCAAGCAGGACCACCCAAAGUUCUGGAAAUUUUGAACUACUGAACUGUAACGCCAUUUCCCGCCAACGCAACGAGCUCGACACCAGAACCGAACCCCAUCCGACCCGGUGUCUGCGCCGUUACCAAAAAGCAAACGGAAGAGGGGGGAGCCGAGCCGGUGUGUGUUUGUGUGUGUGCGAGACGAGGGAGGCACACGAGCACACACCCUCCCUCCCCCCGCUGCCUCCCUGACCCCCCGUGGAGCUGCUGAUGUCUUCCACACUCCCCGAUGAAAUAAGCUGAUGACGCAGUCUCACAAGAGUCUCAUUAAAGAGGUUGUCAAGUAAAUUGAAUAUAACAAACUAAAGGUAAAUGAAGUACAGGUGGAAGGUGGGAGCAGAGAACAAACAGGCAAGACUGUUACAAAUUCCACAGUCUGUGUAUAAAAUGCAAGGGGACGACUUAGUAUAGGGCUAGAGUUACUACUUAUCUGCUAGACGACACAUGCAGUCACUGUAUGAACACCCGGCUCGGCACCGUCGACGUGACGCUCGGCCCGCUGUAGCACGGACGCAGAGAGAAGUCGUACGUAUCUGUGAAAUUUAGCAGAAGGGUUUGUGCCGCCGGCGCCUCUGGUGUUCUCCGAGCAGGAUUUUUUAACGUUUGAAGUGCAUUAAUAAUGUGAAUUGACUGUACUUUACUGCUGCCACCCAUUCCAAAAACAACAGCUUUGACGACCUAUGGCUUGUUCCAGUCACACACACACACACACACACACACACACACACACACACACACACACACACACACACACACACACACACACACACACACAGAGGUGGUUAGAUAGAGUAACAAAGGAGUCAUAGUACUUUGUCAUUAGGUAGGUUACCAGAGCAGCCAUUCAGCCUUUAAACAGCUCCAACCACAGAUUACCCACGUUUUCUAGAUGCACUUAGCUUCAGUGCGCAGAGUUAAAGCUCUUUUUUUGCUACUUUUGCAGUUGCAGCCGCACUAAAUGGACGUACGUGUACAAUUAAUGACCUGGCUCUGCUUGCUUUAUACAGUAAACCUGUUUAAUACGUGCACUGAAUGAGUGAUGUUACGUUUCAUGAAUGAGCUUCAGACACUGCAAUCGUUUGCAACGACGUGUUUUCUGCUUUGCCGCAUCUCAUCUGUUUGACUCUUUUAUUUAAUUGCGGUGUUUUUGUUCAUGGUGUUUCAUUAAAUAAAAAAGAAACUGUAAACA